Molecule: ribosomal RNA, 492 nt
Filed under: uncultured bacterium
Lineage: Bacteria
Description: partial 16S ribosomal RNA
Rfam family: Bacterial small subunit ribosomal RNA
Source: RNAcentral
AGUGAACGCUGGCGGUAGGCCUAACACAUGCAAGUCGAACGGCAGCACAGUAAGAGCUUGCUCUUACGGGUGGCGAGUGGCGGACGGGUGAGGAAUACAUCGGAAUCUACUUUUUCGUGGGGGAUAACGUAGGGAAACUUACGCUAAUACCGCAUACGACCUACGGGUGAAAGCAGGGGAUCUUCGGACCUUGCGCGAUUGAAUGAGCCGAUGUCGGAUUAGCUAGUUGGCGGGGUAAAGGCCCACCAAGGCGACGAUCCGUAGCUGGACGGCGAGGAUGAGCAGCCAGCCUGGGACGGUGACACGCUCCAGACGCCUACGGGAGGCGCCAGUGGUGAAUAGUGGACAAGGGGCGCGAGCCUGUUCCAGCCAUACCGAGGGGGUGAAGAAGGCCGCCGGGUUGUGAAGCCCGUUUGUUGGGAUAGAAAAGCAGCAGGUUAAUACCCCGCUGUUCUGACGGUACCCAAAGGAUAAGCACCGGCUAACUUCGUG